UUUUUUCCGAGGCACACGUUAAAGAUUGUUCCGCGUUGUGAGUCUAACAUCGGUUGCAUAAACUUUUUACAACCGGUAGCGCUGGAUCCCUUGGCACGUCAUUCGAUGAAGACCGUUGCAAAUUGCGAUAAAGUGAUGUGAUGCGCAAGUCCACCACUUAUACGUGAAUCAUCGAGUUGUUGAACGCAUUGCACCGCGCCCUAAUCCGGCUGCGGUAUGCCCCUUUGAGCGUCAUUGUAUCCCUUCGGGAGUCCUUUUACAAGGACCCGAGCUCGGAGUCCUCGGUCCUCUCUGGAUCGUGUUCUCUCAGAUGCCUCGCGCCGAUCGCCUGAUGGGUCCUCUAAUGCCUAAGCGUGGAGUUCCUUCAGUCCGAGACGCGCUUGACCGGGUCUUGAGCCUGCGUCAUCAAGUCUGCCUAACCAGCGGUACUACAACGCAUGACCUCAUUGGGGUAGGACAACCCGCUAGACUUAAGCAUAWUAAUCAGCGGAGGAAAAGAAACUAACCAGGAUUCCCUCAGAA
This 522-nucleotide ribosomal RNA is filed under the name uncultured Tulasnella. RNAcentral's name for it is "eukaryotic LSU rRNA". The stretch from base 71 to 234 matches the Rfam family "5.8S ribosomal RNA". The record is from RNAcentral. Lineage: Eukaryota; Fungi; Basidiomycota; Agaricomycetes; Cantharellales; Tulasnellaceae.